Molecule: ribosomal RNA, 167 nt
Filed under: Corynebacterium striatum
Lineage: Bacteria; Bacillati; Actinomycetota; Actinomycetes; Mycobacteriales; Corynebacteriaceae
Description: partial 23S ribosomal RNA
Rfam family: Bacterial large subunit ribosomal RNA
Source: RNAcentral
UGUUCGUUAUUUAGGGCGCAUGGUGGAUGCCUUGGCAUGCUGAGCCGAUGAAGGACGUGAAAGGCUGCGUUAAGCCUCGGGGAGUUGUCAAUUGAGCGUUGAUCCGAGGAUGUCCGAAUGGGGAAACCUGGCACCUGUUAUGGGGUGUUACCUUGCAGUGAAUUCAU